UUAAGCGACUAAGCGUACACGGUGGAUGCCCUGGCAGUCAGAGGCGAUGAAGGGCGUGCUAAUCUGCGAUAAGCGCCGGUAAGGUGAUAUGAACCGUUAUAACCGGCGAUACCCGAAUGGGGAAACCCAGUGUGAUUCGUCACACUAUCAUUAACUGAAUCCAUAGGUUAAUGAGGCGAACCGGGGGAACUGAAACAUCUAAGUACCCCGAGGAAAAGAAAUCAACCGAGAUUCCCCCAGUAGCGGCGAGCGAACGGGGAGGAGCCCAGAGCCUGAAUCAGCAUGUGUGUUAGUGGAAGCGUCUGGAAAGGCGCGCGAUACAGGGUGACAGCCCCGUACACAAAAGCGCAUGUGCUGUGAGCUCGAUGAGUAGGGCGGGACACGUGGUAUCCUGUCUGAAUAUGGGGGGACCAUCCUCCAAGGCUAAAUACUCCUGACUGACCGAUAGUGAACCAGUACCGUGAGGGAAAGGCGAAAAGAACCCCGGCGAGGGGAGUGAAAAAGAACCUGAAACCGUGUACGUACAAGCAGUGGGAGCACAGGUUUACCUGUGUGACUGCGUACCUUUUGUAUAAUGGGUCAGCGACUUAUAUUCUGUAGCAAGGUUAACCGAAUAGGGGAGCCGGAGGGAAACCGAGUCUUAAUUGGGCGUUAAGUUGCAGGGUAUAGACCCGAAACCCGGUGAUCUAGCCAUGGGCAGGUUGAAGGUUGGGUAACACUAACUGGAGGACCGAACCGACUAAUGUUGAAAAAUUAGCGGAUGACCUGUGGCUGGGGGUGAAAGGCCAAUCAAACCGGGAGAUAGCUGGUUCUCCCCGAAAGCUAUUUAGGUAGCGCCUCGUGAAUUCAUCUCCGGGGGUAGAGCACUGUUUCGGCUAGGGGGCCAUCCCGGCUUACCAACCCGAUGCAAACUGCGAAUACCGGAGAAUGUUAUCACGGGAGACACACGGCGGGUGCUAACGUCCGUCGUGAAGAGGGAAACAACCCAGACCGCCAGCUAAGGUCCCAAAGUCAUGGUUAAGUGGGAAACGAUGUGGGAAGGCCCAGACAGCCAGGAUGUUGGCUUAGAAGCAGCCAUCAUUUAAAGAAAGCGUAAUAGCUCACUGGUCGAGUCGGCCUGCGCGGAAGAUGUAACGGGGCUAAACCAUGCACCGAAGCUGCGGCAGCGAACGUAUCACCCAAGACAACUUUACGGAGUUGACGAUUGACGGAGCGAAGCGACGUCAAAGCGUUCAUUAAAGUCGAGUUGGCUUAGGGAUACGUUCGUUGGGUAGGGGAGCGUUCUGUAAGCCUGUGAAGGUGUGUCGUGAGGCAUGCUGGAGGUAUCAGAAGUGCGAAUGCUGACAUAAGUAACGAUAAAGCGGGUGAAAAGCCCGCUCGCCGGAAGACCAAGGGUUCCUGUCCAACGUUAAUCGGGGCAGGGUGAGUCGACCCCUAAGGCGAGGCCGAAAGGCGUAGUCGAUGGGAAACGGGUUAAUAUUCCCGUACUUGGUGUUACUGCGAAGGGGGGACGGAGAAGGCUAUGUUGGCCGGGCGACGGUUGUCCCGGUUUAAGCGUGUAGGUGUGUGUUCCAGGUAAAUCCGGUUCACUUUAACACUGAGGCGUGACGACGAGGCACUACGGUGCUGAAGCAACAAAUGCCCUGCUUCCAGGAAAAGCCUCUAAGCAUCAGGUAACACGAAAUCGUACCCCAAACCGACACAGGUGGUCAGGUAGAGAAUACCAAGGCGCUUGAGAGAACUCGGGUGAAGGAACUAGGCAAAAUGGUGCCGUAACUUCGGGAGAAGGCACGCUGACACGUAGGUGAAGUGAUUUACUCAUGGAGCUGAAGUCAGUCGAAGAUACCAGCUGGCUGCAACUGUUUAUUAAAAACACAGCACUGUGCAAACACGAAAGUGGACGUAUACGGUGUGACGCCUGCCCGGUGCCGGAAGGUUAAUUGAUGGGGUCAGCGCAAGCGAAGCUCCUGAUCGAAGCCCCGGUAAACGGCGGCCGUAACUAUAACGGUCCUAAGGUAGCGAAAUUCCUUGUCGGGUAAGUUCCGACCUGCACGAAUGGCGUAAUGAUGGCCAGGCUGUCUCCACCCGAGACUCAGUGAAAUUGAACUCGCUGUGAAGAUGCAGUGUACCCGCGGCAAGACGGAAAGACCCCGUGAACCUUUACUAUAGCUUGACACUGAACAUUGAGCCUUGAUGUGUAGGAUAGGUGGGAGGCUUUGAAGUGUGGACGCCAGUCUGCAUGGAGCCGACCUUGAAAUACCACCCUUUAAUGUUUGAUGUUCUAACGUGGACCCGUAAUCCGGGUUGCGGACAGUGUCUGGUGGGUAGUUUGACUGGGGCGGUCUCCUCCUAAAGAGUAACGGAGGAGCACGAAGGUUGGCUAAUCCUGGUCGGACAUCAGGAGGUUAGUGCAAUGGCAUAAGCCAGCUUGACUGCGAGCGUGACGGCGCGAGCAGGUGCGAAAGCAGGUCAUAGUGAUCCGGUGGUUCUGAAUGGAAGGGCCAUCGCUCAACGGAUAAAAGGUACUCCGGGGAUAACAGGCUGAUACCGCCCAAGAGUUCAUAUCGACGGCGGUGUUUGGCACCUCGAUGUCGGCUCAUCACAUCCUGGGGCUGAAGUAGGUCCCAAGGGUAUGGCUGUUCGCCAUUUAAAGUGGUACGCGAGCUGGGUUUAGAACGUCGUGAGACAGUUCGGUCCCUAUCUGCCGUGGGCGCUGGAGAACUGAGGGGGGCUGCUCCUAGUACGAGAGGACCGGAGUGGACGCAUCACUGGUGUUCGGGUUGUCAUGCCAAUGGCACUGCCCGGUAGCUAAAUGCGGAAGAGAUAAGUGCUGAAAGCAUCUAAGCACGAAACUUGCCCCGAGAUGAGUUCUCCCUGAGACUUAGAGUCUCCUGAAGGAACGUUGAAGACGACGACGUUGAUAGGCCGGGUGUGUAAGCGCAGCGAUGCGUUGAGCUAACCGGUACUAAUGAACCGUGAGGCUUAACCU
RNAcentral lists this ribosomal RNA (2989 nucleotides) under Salmonella enterica subsp. enterica serovar 4,[5],12:i:-. RNAcentral describes it as "23S ribosomal RNA". It matches the Rfam family "Bacterial large subunit ribosomal RNA". Lineage: Bacteria; Pseudomonadati; Pseudomonadota; Gammaproteobacteria; Enterobacterales; Enterobacteriaceae. The record is from RNAcentral.